Molecule: ribosomal RNA, 750 nt
Filed under: uncultured bacterium
Lineage: Bacteria
Description: bacterial SSU rRNA
Rfam family: Bacterial small subunit ribosomal RNA
Source: RNAcentral
GGAAGGUUACAUUGGCAGUCGAAGGGGCAUCGGGAGGGAAGCUUGCUUUCCUUGCCGGCGACCGGCGCACGGGUGAGUAACACGUAUGCAACCUGCCCUCUUCAGGGGGACAACCUUCCGAAAGGGAGGCUAAUCCCGCGUAUAUCGGUUUCGGGCAUCCGGGAUCGAGGAAAGAUUCAUCGGAAGGGGAUGGGCAUGCGGCGCAUUAGCUUGACGGCGGGGUAACGGCCCACCGUGGCGACGAUGCGUAGGGGUUCUGAGAGGAAGGUCCCCCACACUGGUACUGAGACACGGACCAGACUCCUACGGGAGGCAGCAGUGAGGAAUAUUGGUCAAUGGGAGAGAUCCUGAACCAGCCAAGCCGCGUGAGGGAAGACGGCCCUAUGGGUUGUAAACCUCUUUUGUCGGAGAACAAAACCCGGGACGUGUCCCGGACUGCGUGUAUCCGAAGAAAAAGCAUCGGCUAACUCCGUGCCAGCAGCCGCGGUAAUACGGAGGAUGCGAGCGUUAUCCGGGUUUAUUGGGUUUAAAGGGUGCGUAGGCGGUCCGUUAAGUCAGCGGUAAAAUUGCGGGGCUCAACCCCGUCGAGCCGUUGAAACUGGCAGACUUGAGUUGGCGAGAAGUACGCGGAAUGCGCGGUGUAGCGGUGAAAUGCAUAGAUAUCGCGCAGAACUCCGAUUGCGAAGGCAGCGUACCGGCGCCAGACUGACGCUGAGGCACGAAAGCGUGGGGAUCGAACAGGAUUAGAUA